GUCUACAGCCAUACCACCCUGAAUGUGCCCAAUCUCAUCUGAUCUCAGAAGCCUAAGCAGGGUUGGGCCUGGUUAGUACUUGGAUAGGAGACUGCCUGGGAAUUCCGGGUGCUGUAGGCU
RNAcentral lists this ribosomal RNA (120 nucleotides) under Peromyscus maniculatus bairdii (prairie deer mouse). The record is from RNAcentral. Lineage: Eukaryota; Metazoa; Chordata; Mammalia; Rodentia; Cricetidae.